UGAGAAGCUCGAGAGGGGAAAAGGAGAGGGGGGGAAUUGGGUCUGGGUGAAACUGUUUUAAUUUUUAUGGAUUUUGGUAGGGGUAGGUGAGAUUUCGGAGCUGAGGGUCAAAUGGGGAUCGCUUUCUCCUAGGAGGUUGCAGGCCUGCGGCUAUGGCCCAUGGGCCUAAUAGAUUAUCUGGGUCUAGAUCAGAUCGAAUCGGAUUUUUUGAUAAACAAUGUAAAAUUGACUUAAAAAAAUGGGUUAGGUCGUAUCAAAUCUGGGUUGGGUCGGAUUGAACCCGAUCUGAAAAAUAGAACGAGUCCAAAUUUAAGACCCAACUGGCUCCGCGGGUCCUAA
Molecule: long non-coding RNA, 339 nt
Filed under: Phoenix dactylifera (date palm)
Lineage: Eukaryota; Viridiplantae; Streptophyta; Magnoliopsida; Arecales; Arecaceae
Description: long non-coding RNA (PDAC_LNC003102)
Source: RNAcentral